UUGAUUAAAAUAUUAAUUCACAGGCAGUACCAUAGACUAUAUUUGUUGGCCUGUUGCUGGGACAGGGUGAUUCCUUCACCUGUUUAUCAAUUUUGCACAGGUCUAGUUAUGGUUGAAAGAUUAACUUUCAAAUAGCAAAAUUUCUAUAUGAGAUAAAACCAGAAGGCUUAACAAGUAACAAAUUGAGUCAUGCUCUCUUCUUGCCAUCAAUUUGCAGUGCUGGGAGCAGCAGAAAGGGAAGAUGCAAAACAGAGAUGAUGCACAGAUUUGUGAGAAAUUACUCAUCAAUCCAAACCCCAAUAUGCAGCAGGGCCAAGAGGAAUUUAAUUUCACAUGAAAAAUGUCCAGUCACCAGCACAUAAAAUUGCUUCUCUAGAAGUGGCAUUUCCAGUUGCAGACUGUGUUCUGCUUAGACACAUAAAAUCCAUUGUAUUCCUCUUCCCCUUGCUAUGCAGUGCACACAUGAAUGGGAGCUGCUGCUGCAGAAGCUCAUUUGCUCCCAGGGUUGAAGGUGAUCACAUUCCUUCUAAUUACAUAAGAAAAUUCCACUGUCGUGGUGAUUGCUGCAACAAGAACAAAUGUGAAAUGCUUGGGAACAACAGUGCUUUGGGACUUCAGCAGAUCACCCCACUCUGUUCAGAGAAUGCUGGGACCUCUCUUCCUGAUACUCAGUUCCAAAUACAUUAGGCACCAAACAGUCCCAGCUGCUAUUUCUACCUUGCUUCACUUGCUUUUCAGUUUGCUUCCCUGCAUCCAUCAACAAUGAAGGAAAAGAGGUAACAGGAUUUACUGCAUGGUUGUUCUAGCUCUUUGUACAGAAUCCACUAAAAUCCCACUAAAAUACAAUAAAUAACUGGUUUUCUGUUACUUUUCUCUUUGUUUUGAAAUUAGGAGGCAGUUUUAUUCAUUCAUAGGUCAGGAAGAUAAGGGCUUGCUCUGCCAUAACGUGUGCUGGUUUAGCAUGGCUUCAGGGUACAGUGUUUGCUAGGUUUGUUUGAACUUUCUUUGGGUUACCAGGCCUUCACAAGUAGAAGAAUUUCCUCUUUUGCUAGUACUGGCAGCAUCAUAGCCAGUCUCCUGCAGUGCUCACCAAACCAAAGCUGGUGAAACUCUAGAAGAAACCAAGACUUUGCUUCCAGCACAUACAAAAAAUACCAGGGAAGUGGGAUGGAGAAAACAGUUUCCUUUAGGAAUAUACACCUGGUAUGCAACUGACUGUGAUUCUACCUGUGACUGUCAAAAUCUAGAAUUAGAUCUUUGUCUUCCAGGACAAGGGGACAGACAAUAGGAGCCUCAGAGGAAAAAAAUAGUACAGUACAAGAAAUGGGCAUCUUCAUUCACGUCAUGGCAUUCCCUGGGAUACCAAGGGUGACUGUUUGAUCUCACCUUUACACAGAAGUCUCCAAGGGCAGAGGGCAAAAGGGAACUGCAGGAAGGAUAGAGGAGAGAAAAGUCACACCAGCAUGUGGACAGCAACACAGACUGCAGCCCACAGCAGAACAGUCAGACCUUUCUCUUGCUGGUGGGGACAACUCACGUGGCAGAAGAUGAAAGUUGGUGCUGUUGAACUUUACAUUAAUCACUGUCUGCCAGGAGAGGAGCUGGAGCAGCCUGGCUCUGCCAGUGUGGAGCACAAGGAAUCGCUCAGGGGUGCUGGUUUCUCCUGCCAUGGGGAUGUGCUGCAUCAGCAGCAGGACCACGGCACAAGAGACUUGGAAACUGCUGCAGUUAAAACAAGGAAGGAUGGAAAAUGACAGGAUGUAAAACCAGCACCCUCCUCUUCCAGAAAACCACAGAACAAACUCAGAAGAUCUUGAACAGGAAGGUGAUCAUUAAUUCAGUAACAAAAUUACCUCAUAUUGUUAAAACAUCCUUCCUUCUCCCCAAAGGCCAGCAGAGCAGGUGAGGACACUGCACUCGUCUGCACAUCCCCUCAGCACUGAGGAUGCAUCACUGCACCAUUUUAGGAGAAACACACUGCACUGGCAUGUCAGGUCUCAAACGAGCAGCCUUUUAGACUUAGGGCAAACCCAACAUUUUUGGUUUAAAACAACAGUACUUUGGGAACUUCUCAUUCAGGGGUUUCCAAAAGCAUGUGCCAUUCCCUAAAAAGCUGAGCUGGCUAUUGCUUCAGAGGCAGCUCUGCACAGGCCAUAGUCCCACAAUGUACUUCACAUUUCCCUGCCCACACAAAACCCCCCUCUCAGCCUGGAAGAGGGCAGGCACCAGAUGCUCUCAAUGCAGCUCUCUGUUUCCUAAUGCAACAUUUCACAGCCAAAAAUAAACCAGCCCCAAACAACUCACUGGUCUGUAGGUGCUGCACAUCCUAUCUGUUUCAUCAUCUAAAGCCGAGUUCCGUGCUGCAGAAAUGGUUAUACCUCAAAAGAGAAAGGUUCACUGGGGUAAAGAAGUGCAAAGGACAAUUAAAGAAGGCAGGGGCUCUCCUAAGGAAAGCACUCUGGCACGUCUCCUCCUCAGUGGCUUGGCCCCCUGAGCAGAAUACAAAUGAAGAGCAUCACUGACAGCCCAGCCUAACAUCUCAGUCGCCUUCACAAGCCAUCCAUUCGGCUCAGGGCACAGACACAGUGCAGGCAUUGUCACAAAUACACUGGGCACAAACAGACUGAGAGGGAGGCCCACAGACAAACAUCACCCUAUUGAGACUGAACACAGCCUUAAAAAUAUACUAACAGAUACAGCUAUUAACAUGCCUGCACAGAACAGAAUAUGGGCAGAGCACUCAAAGUGCUUGUUCAUUCCUCAACCUCCAUUUCAAGCUAUAAUGUCACCCUGUAAUUAGCUGAAAUAACCUCUAUUCUGCUCAGCUUCGCCACUGAUGAGAAGCUCACAAGAAGCAUGAAUCGUCAGGAAAGGUUUAAAAAUACAUGCAAAUUUAACAGCAA
Vidua macroura (Pin-tailed whydah) is the source of this 2903-nucleotide long non-coding RNA. RefSeq lists it as uncharacterized. Lineage: Eukaryota; Metazoa; Chordata; Aves; Passeriformes; Viduidae. The transcript is spliced from 2 exons. The record is from RefSeq and is a predicted model, not a curated record.